Molecule: small nuclear RNA, 99 nt
Filed under: Tupaia belangeri chinensis (Chinese tree shrew)
Lineage: Eukaryota; Metazoa; Chordata; Mammalia; Scandentia; Tupaiidae
Source: RNAcentral
GUACUCGCUUCGGCAGCACAUAUACUAAAAUUAAACAGAACGUUAGCACAAUCCCUGUGAAAGGAUGACAUACAAAUUCAUGAAGCAUUCCAUAUUAAA